UUCUAGCCCUAAAUCAUCAAAACCCUUCAAAUUGAAAGGCUAAACGUGUUAAAAUUCCUUGCAUGAAUCAAGAUUAUUGAUCAACUAAGCUAGGGUAAUCUUAAGGCGACUCGAGAGGAAAGUCGGGUGAUCAAGUCGGAGGUGAUACACGGCUCAAAGGAAAGCUCUAAGGUAAAGUUUAAAUCAAGGACUCGGAUGAAGAUCAAGCCGCGCAUGGAACCAAAUGCUAAUUCGUUCGCCCUUGUGUCAAGCGCAAGUUUGUCAAUUGGAUUUAUGUUUAACCCAUUGACCAGAUUGGUGAGCCUCGCUACGGUCAGAUCAUCUAGUAAACAGUAAUCGUACAACAUAGUUCAUCAAACGGGUUCUAGAUGCCCCUUUUUACUAUUUUGGGCUGAUAUACACGCAACCUUAAAUGGUAUUACUUACCGAAGUAUUUGAUUCCCAUUACGUGAUUAUUGAUUGAUGUUUCAUGUUUUAUA
This is a long non-coding RNA of Helianthus annuus (common sunflower), 479 nucleotides long. RefSeq lists it as uncharacterized. The transcript is spliced from 3 exons. The record is from RefSeq and is a predicted model, not a curated record. NCBI's taxonomy places the organism in Eukaryota, Viridiplantae, Streptophyta, Magnoliopsida, Asterales, Asteraceae.